GCCGGGCAUGGUGGCCUAUGCCUAUACUCCCAGCUACUCAGGAGGCUGAGGCUGGAGGAUUGCUUGAGUCCAGGAGUUCUGGGCUGUAGUGUGCUAUGCCAAUCAGGUGUCCGCACAAGUUCAGCAUCAGUAUGGUGACCUCCUGGGAGCGGGGAACCACCCGGUUGCCUAAGGAGUGGUGAACCAGCCCAGGUCGGAAAUGGAGCAGGUCAAAACUCCUGCGCUGAUCAAUAGUGGGAUCCCGCCUGUGAAUAGCCACUGCACUCCAGCCUGGGCAACAUAGCCAGACCCCGUCUCU
Molecule: signal recognition particle RNA, 298 nt
Filed under: Cebus imitator (Panamanian white-faced capuchin)
Lineage: Eukaryota; Metazoa; Chordata; Mammalia; Primates; Cebidae
Description: Metazoan signal recognition particle RNA (ENSCCAG00000009420.1)
Rfam family: Metazoan signal recognition particle RNA
About the family: The signal recognition particle (SRP) is a universally conserved ribonucleoprotein. It is involved in the co-translational targeting of proteins to membranes. The eukaryotic SRP consists of a 300-nucleotide 7S RNA and six proteins: SRPs 72, 68, 54, 19, 14, and 9.
Source: RNAcentral